Molecule: ribosomal RNA, 440 nt
Filed under: uncultured bacterium
Lineage: Bacteria
Description: partial 16S ribosomal RNA
Rfam family: Bacterial small subunit ribosomal RNA
Source: RNAcentral
CCUACGGGAGGCAGCAGUAGGGAAUAUUGCUCAAUGGGGGAAACCCUGAAGCAGCAACGCCGCGUGGAGGAUGAAGGUUUUCGGAUUGUUAACUCCUUUUGUUAGAGAAGUCAAUUACGGUACCUAUCGACUUCUCACCGGCUAACUCCGUCCCAGCAGCCGCGGCUACACGGAGGGUGCAAGCGUUAUCCGGAAGUACGGGGCGUAAAGGGCGCGUAGGCGGGUUGGCAAGUCAGAUGUGAAAUCCUUUGGUUUAACCGUAGAACUGCAGUUGAAACUGUUAUUCUAGAGUAUGGGAGAGGUAGGUGGAAUUCAUGGUGUAGAGGUGAAAUCCGUAGAGAUCAAGAGGAAUACUCAUUGCGAAGGCGACCUGCUAGAACAUAACUGACGCUGAUGCGCGAAAGCGUGGGGAGCAAACAGGAUUAGAUACCCCAGUAGUC